UUCACGAUCCGAGGAUUGCCGCACUCGACCCGCGAAAUUUGAAGCGUGAUUGAAACGUCGUCGUCAUCUUCUUUUUCUCAAUUGUUUUUGCUAUAUGCUUCGAGGCUAUUCUGGAUCUCCAGAGCGAAAGCUGGUUGUUUCUGAUACGUACCACGCAUUACCUUAGGUUGAGCCGUGGCUUUUAAUUUUUUUUGGAAGUUCACUGCUUUGGAGACGACGGAAUGUCAAGGAAACGUAAGGCCGAGUCGCCUCACCGACUGAGCAAAGUUCUCUGCGACGAAAGUCACACUAUCGGCGAAUGCACUCAAGAGCUUCCGAGCCACGCCGAGUCACCUGACCAACUGAAGAAGGUUCUGUGCGACGAAAGUCACACUAUCGGCGAAUGCACUCAAG
This is a long non-coding RNA of Sycon ciliatum, 393 nucleotides long. RefSeq lists it as uncharacterized. Lineage: Eukaryota; Metazoa; Porifera; Calcarea; Leucosolenida; Sycettidae. The transcript has 3 exons. The record is from RefSeq and is a predicted model, not a curated record.